RNAcentral lists this ribosomal RNA (560 nucleotides) under uncultured organism. Its description in RNAcentral is "bacterial SSU rRNA". It matches the Rfam family "Bacterial small subunit ribosomal RNA", at positions 843 to 1413 of the family's 1533-position model. The record is from RNAcentral.
GUGCCGAAGCUAACGCGUUAAGCAUCCCGCCUGGGGAUUACGGCCGCAAGGCUUAAACUCAAACGAAUUUGACGGGGGCCCGCACAAGCAGCGGAGCGUGUGGUUUAAUUCGAUGCUACACGAAGAACCUUACCUGGGCUUGACAUGUAGGUAGUAGUGAAGCGAAAGCGGAACGACCCUUCGGGGAGCCUACACAGGUGCUGCAUGACUGUCGUCAGUUCGUGCCGUGAGGUGUCGGGUUAAGUCCCGUAACGAACGCAACCCUUGCCCUUAGUUACAUGUGUCUAAGGGGACUGCCCGGGACAACUGGGAGGAAGGUGGGGAUGACGUCAAGUCAGCAUGGCCUUUAUGUCCAGGGCUACACACACGCUACAAUGGCCGGUACAAUGGGUCGCCAAAGCCGUGAGGCGGAGCCAAUCCCCCAAAGCCGGUCUAAGUUCGGAUUGUGGGCUGCAACUCGCCCAUAUGAAGCUGGAGUUGCUAGUAACCGCGCGUCAGCAAUAGUGCGGUGAAUACGUUCCCGGGCCUUGUACACACCGCCCGUCACGUCAUGGAAGCUG